GAGCAGUGACGAAUAUUGGUCAAUAGCCUAACGGCUGAACCAGCAACUUGGAGGAACGAAUAGCUAUUUCUAAUUGCACCUACAAACUGUGGGUGCAAAAUUGACUAUGUCAAAUAAAGUUCUAAGCAGAUAUCUGAUAAUGACAUUGUCUGCUUAUGUGUCUUGACCAAGUUACGUGCCAGCAGUCGCGGUAAUACGUAAAAGACUAGUGUUAUUCAUCUUUAAUAGGUUUAAAGGGUACCUAGACGGUAAAUAAAGCUUUAAAAAUUAGAACUAAUUUACUAGAGUUACUUGUGAGGGGGUUUUAAAGUACUAAUGGUGUAGAGAUGAAAUUCUGUCAUACCUUUUUUCGAGAAAGAAAAAUCAUGGCACAGGUAUAGGCGAAGGCAUCCCCUUAUGUGAUAACUGACGUUGA
Molecule: ribosomal RNA, 415 nt
Filed under: Ramboldia russula
Lineage: Eukaryota; Fungi; Ascomycota; Lecanoromycetes; Lecanorales; Ramboldiaceae
Description: SSU rRNA
Rfam family: Bacterial small subunit ribosomal RNA
Source: RNAcentral